Long non-coding RNA from Heterocephalus glaber (naked mole-rat), 1072 nucleotides. Lineage: Eukaryota; Metazoa; Chordata; Mammalia; Rodentia; Bathyergidae. The record is from Ensembl.
CCCCUUCUCGCACCCCCCUUCGCUGGUUUUUUUUUUUUUUUAGAUCCAGGGAGAGGAACUUGAAAGGGGGGUUGUGUAAUGUACCUUUUCCAAUCCCGGGCUGUAUAUGGAGAUUUGGGAUUCUUUAAACCGGCGCUACCUGGAUUUUAUUAAAAAGCGGGGAGCUCGGCGGGAGGAAAGCUGGCUUUUCCGGGGGCUGCGGGAGCGGGGCCGCGGGAGGGCGGAGGAGUUGGCGCGCAGAGCGCUCGGCCCAGGGAGCGGUUUUCUACCAAAAAAAGGAAAGGCGGGCAAAAAGUGUGAAGCGGCUGCGGGUGGCGGAGGGGAGCGGCGGCCGCGGGAUGGCGGGCAGCACAGGCGCUUAGCCGCGCCGGGAGCCGGGGCCGCCGCCGGAGUCGCUGUUGCCGGAGCCCGGAGCCGGGAGCCCCGCCGCGCCAGACGCUGUGUGUGCCACCUCGCGCAGCUCCGCCUGGUCGCCCGGAGGGGUUCCACCGCCCGCCGGCCGCGCGCCCCAGGCGGGCCCGCCACCGAGCGCCAGCCGCGGCCAUGCACACUACGGAGCCCCCGCCACCCGAGGACUCUGGGACUACGUUGAGGCUAAACUUUUAGGUCCCACGGAGUGAGGCCUGCGGGCCGGGUGGGGGGCUGGCCGCGGCACUCCCGCGGAGGAUGGAUGGCCGAGACUUCGGGCCCCAGCGGUCCGUGCAUGGCCCCCCGCCGCCGCUGCUGUCCGGCUUGGCCAUGGACAGCCACCGCGUGGGCGCGGCUACUGCCGGACGCUUGCCUGGCUCCAGCUUGCCCGGCCCGCUGCCGCCCGGGAAGUACAUGGCCGGCCUCAACCUCCACCAGCACCCGGGAGACAAAGAUAACGUCAGUAACAGCAAACAUCGCCGGAAGAAGGCUGUCUGCAGUUGCUGGACCUGAGGCAGAUCAGAUGUGGCCGUUUGGAGUGUUCUUUGUGGACUUGGCUGUGGUCUGACCUGAUUUUACGCUCACCCUGUGACUGCCACCCAGACUCCAGCCCAGCUUUGAAGACCAGCUGGGGCUUCUCCCACCUGCCCAGUGGGCUGUACCC